RNAcentral lists this unclassified non-coding RNA (109 nucleotides) under Chryseobacterium contaminans. RNAcentral's name for it is "Flavo-1 RNA". The record is from RNAcentral. Lineage: Bacteria; Pseudomonadati; Bacteroidota; Flavobacteriia; Flavobacteriales; Weeksellaceae.
CUCUAGCCCCGAUAGGAACGGUUACCCCGCAACAGGGAGUUGGAGUGCCGGAGGGUUUGAGCCAAGGAGUGUAAGGCGUGAGGAGUAUGAGUGGAUAGCGGGAAAUAGC